UUGCCUUUCCAAACACACAGUUAUAAUUCUAGUCUGCCUGAGGCAUCCAUCGCUCUGAAGGGAAAUCAGGGUCUGCUGCAGAAGGGAUACAAAGAAUAAGACCCAGGUGAUGUUCAGCUUUUGACAUUGAAAAUUCAGCUUUUGCCUAGCCCUGAGUCCUGAAGAGUUUCUCCUAUAUAGUUUUCUAAUAAUUUUUGUCUAAAGUUUUUGUCUAAAAAAUCAGCUGACAAUCCCUAACAAUCAGUUGUUUGCCAGGUGAUUAGCUGCCUCUCUACCUUCCUCGUGGUCCGAUAAACUGCAGGAACGUAUGGAAUCAUUCACACUUAGCUUGUGCUGGGCCAGGCCGCGCAUGUCACCUUGAGUUUCGCUGGCCGCUGACAAGACCUCAAGCUGCCAAGAGCUGCCGCACUAUCCUUCCCCGGCUCCCAUUUUAAUGGAAGGGGUCGCUGGCAGGGCCAGGAGAUUAAGAGCAUGCCCCUUAUUCAGCUUUAUCUCAGCAAGUAUUCAUAGUUUUAGAGUUGCAAGGGACCUUCUCAAAGGGAACAGGCUAAAACCAAGGAAUGUUCAGUGAUUUUUUUCCAAUUUACAGAAUCUUCAGCUUCUGACUCCCAGGCUGAGCUCUUUUCAUUGUCCCCACAAAGCACCAGCCAGUGGACUACUGGUCACUCCUCCUGGCCUGCCGCAGCCUCUGUCCCAUAACAGGGAGCAAACAGCUGUGGCGGCUCAGAGAAUCCGCCAGGUCGUAGCAAUUUAAUCCAGUGCUCUCAUGGGGAUCUGCUGUGAGCAUCUCAUGCAGGGGCUCCGAGCUGCCAGCUUUCCCUCCGAGCUGCCUUCAGCGUCCUGUCCUCGCCCUCACAGCCUGGGAGAUAGGAACAGAAGUACAGCUUGCUACUGGAUAAGAGCACCACCUACUUCGACGAGAGAGGGGAGAUGGCUGAUUUUCCCUCUGCCGGGGGUCCCACUAAAAGCUGUGGAGCUGAGAUUCAUGAAAAUCAAUCGCAGAGUCUAAUCCUGUGAGUGGCAGAAUGACAACCAGAAUGGAAUUCUCAAACUUUCAGAGUGUCUUUUGUUAAAAGUGGGAGCAUUAAUUUGGAAGGAACAAGAUCCUAAAAAUUGGAAUGGGUACAUAUGAGCAUAUUGAUUCAGCUGGAACCGUGAAACCCUGUAUUCUGCUGAGUCAGCUUUGCCAGUGGAAGGAGCAGCUUCACCCUCCUCUGACGAGGUUAACCUUCCUUUGCCUGAGGAACUUGUAAUGGCCUCUCUUGAGGUAGUAGCUCGACAAGACUGCUGAUUCUCCACCAUGCCCGGGAUCCAAACGCACAAAACCUGGGCCACCCAAGUGGAGUGCACAGAACUUUAGCCACUCGGUUACAGUGCCGGGCCCUUGCUAUGUUGUGUUUUUAUUUUCAUUUGUCUCAAGUUAUUUUUAGAUUUACUUUGGAUUUCUUCUUUGACUCAUUGGUUGUUCAGGAAUGUCUUAAUUUCCGAUAUUGGUGAUUUUCCAAUUUGUAUUCUGUUAUUGAUUUUUCGUUUCAUCCCUCUGUUGUCAGAAAAGUUACUUGGAUAUCAGGCUUCUUAAAUUUGUUAAAAUUUUUUGGACCAUAACGUGUGA
This is a long non-coding RNA of Equus caballus (horse), 1612 nucleotides long. Lineage: Eukaryota; Metazoa; Chordata; Mammalia; Perissodactyla; Equidae. The record is from Ensembl.